GUGAGCUCCAGGCAGGUGACCAGCUCUGCCGACUUCUCUAUCUUGUCUCUCUCUCUGAGCCAAAGGGGAGUGUGUGUGUGUAUGUGAACAAGUGUGUGUGGAAAUAAAAACACACCCUGCUAUUCGCACCAUUGCUGCUACUGAGCCUUUCUGACACUGGGCUCUUUUUGGGAAUUGAAAUCAUCCUCCAUCGCAUUGGAUUUAACCUACGGACUGACUUUAUGCUUUGAGGAUAUUCUUUUUGAUUUCCCUUUUUGAACUAUUGCUUGGGGAGGAAGUUCAGCAUGUGAGAAGGAGUGGGCAUCUGCACAUCGGGCACAGGUUCGUGAAACGAGAGCCAGGGAGGAGGAGUGU
Sinocyclocheilus anshuiensis is the source of this 354-nucleotide long non-coding RNA. RefSeq lists it as uncharacterized. The record is from RefSeq and is a predicted model, not a curated record. The transcript has 2 exons. NCBI's taxonomy places the organism in Eukaryota, Metazoa, Chordata, Actinopteri, Cypriniformes, Cyprinidae.